This 279-nucleotide ribosomal RNA is filed under the name uncultured bacterium. Its description in RNAcentral is "partial 16S ribosomal RNA". It matches the Rfam family "Bacterial small subunit ribosomal RNA", at positions 506 to 784 of the family's 1533-position model. The record is from RNAcentral.
UGCCAGCCGCCGCGGUAAUACGGAGGGUGCAAGCGUUAAUCGGAAUUACUGGGCGUAAAGCGCGCGUAGGUGGUCUGUUAAGUCGGAUGUGAAAGCCCCGGGCUCAACCUGGGAACUGCAUUCGAUACUGGCAGACUAGAGUGCGGGAGAGGGAGGUAGAAUUCCAUGUGUAGCGGUGAAAUGCGUAGAUAUUUGGAGGAACACCAAUGGCGAAGGCAACUUACUGGACAUUUACUGACGCUCAGACACGAAAGCUAGGUUAGCGAAAGGGAUUAGAUA